RNAcentral lists this small nuclear RNA (107 nucleotides) under Sciurus vulgaris (Eurasian red squirrel). Lineage: Eukaryota; Metazoa; Chordata; Mammalia; Rodentia; Sciuridae. The record is from RNAcentral.
GUGCUUGCUUCAGCAGCACAUAUACUAAAAUUGGAACAAUACAGAGAAGAUCAGCAUGGCCUCUGCACAAGGAUGAUAUGCAAAUUCAUGAAGCAUUUCAUAUUUAA